CCAAUAGCGUAUAUUAAAGUUGUUGCAGUUAAAAAGCUCGUAGUUGAAUUUCGGGAUCAAUAUAUCGGUCGUGCCAUUGGUACGUACUGGUAUCAUUGGUUUCUCCUUUCUGACGAACCAUGAUGUCAUUAAUUUGGUGUUAUGGGAAGUUAGGACUGUUACUUUGAAAAAAUUAGAGUGUUUAAAGCAGGCUUUAGCUUGAAUACAUUAGCAUGGAAUAAUGAAAUAGGACGUUCGAACCUAUUUUGUUGGUUUCUAGGAUCAACGUAAUGAUUAAUAGGGAUAGUUGGGUGCAUUAGUAUUCAAUUGUCAGAGGUGAAAUUCUUGGAUUUAUUGAAGACUAACUACUGCGAAAGCAUUUGCCAAGGAUGUUUUCAUUAAUCAAGAACGAAAGUUAGGGGAUCGAAGACGAUCAGAUACCGUCGUAGUCUUAACCAUAAACUAUGCCGACUAGGGAUCGGAUGAUGUUAAUUUUUUAAUGACUCAUUCGGCGCCUUACG
This 500-nucleotide unclassified non-coding RNA is filed under the name uncultured Glomus. RNAcentral's name for it is "SSU rRNA". It matches the Rfam family "Eukaryotic small subunit ribosomal RNA", at positions 591 to 1092 of the family's 1831-position model. The record is from RNAcentral. Lineage: Eukaryota; Fungi; Glomeromycota; Glomeromycetes; Glomerales; Glomeraceae.